Molecule: ribosomal RNA, 253 nt
Filed under: uncultured bacterium
Lineage: Bacteria
Description: partial 16S ribosomal RNA
Rfam family: Bacterial small subunit ribosomal RNA
Source: RNAcentral
UACGGAGGGUGCAAGCGUUAUCCGGAUUCACUGGGUUUAAAGGGUGCGUAGGUGGGCAGUUAAGUCAGUGGUGAAAUCUCCGGGCUCAACCCGGAAACUGCCAUUGAUACUAUCUGUCUUGAAUAUCGUGGAGGUAAGCGGAAUAUGUCAUGUAGCGGUGAAAUGCUUAGAUAUGACAUAGAACACCAAUUGCGAAGGCAGCUUACUGCCCGAAUAUUGACACUGAGGCAUGAAAGCGUGGGGAGCAAACAGG